UUCAGGAGGGGUGAGCCUGGCUCAGCAGAGAGUGCAGCUGAGGUCUGCCCUGAUGCUGUCCUAGUCGGAGGGGCAAGGAGCUGGGAGGGGACCAUGUGGCUGCCCGGAGCUCUGCUCCUGCUCAGCCUGGCAGGUCACUGCUCAUUGCUAGCUGCUACCUAACAGAGCGUAACAAGGGAUGAGGCCCCGAUGCCACUAGAACCCGGGCAGCCUCCAGGACAGACGGGAAACUACUCCAUGAACAACCACAGGAACGGGAUCCUAAUUAGAAGAUGUUGCCCUCCAGUGUGUAUAGUACAUCAGGACACCCUCCGCUGUCCUGUGGAUCAAAGAACAGAUGAAAAAUAAAAAUUAAAAAGUAGACUCCCAAUGCUCCCCAACUGUCUACACAAUAAAACCUAGCCCUGGUGUGGCCCAGUUGUCCCUGAUGGGCUUUGCCUGCCCGCCUCUCU
Molecule: non-coding RNA, 452 nt
Organism: Marmota flaviventris (yellow-bellied marmot)
Lineage: Eukaryota; Metazoa; Chordata; Mammalia; Rodentia; Sciuridae
Source: RefSeq, a predicted model, not a curated record